This 505-nucleotide unclassified non-coding RNA is filed under the name Hevea brasiliensis (rubber tree). Lineage: Eukaryota; Viridiplantae; Streptophyta; Magnoliopsida; Malpighiales; Euphorbiaceae. The record is from RNAcentral.
GUAAGCCCAUCUCACUCUUCAUGGUCUCUUCCCUUGGCCCAUUCAUUCACCUUUGCCUGUUCAAUUUCAAUUCAAUAAUAUGGUACCAAAGCAGCUUAGGCGGUUCAAUUCAAAUUCAAUUCAAGUUUUAAGUCCAAAGUUUCUUGGAAUUGCCAUUGCAUCAAAAGUUCAAGGUUUUAAAGAAAGGAUUUCAAGUUUCAAGUGCCAACCAAAAUGUCCUAGUUGCCACUUGGGGAGUGUUAAGAGUUCUAAAUCCCAUAUCUAAACUAUAUGAGAAAUUCAAUGGCUUAUAAGGGUCAAGGCUAACUAAGUUAAUUGGUUAGGUCUAAUCUUUUAGCAAUGGUUGGCUCAAGCCCAAGUAAGACCAUCUCACUGUCACUCUUCAUGGAUUCUUGUCUUGGCUCAUUCAUUCACCUAUGCUCGUUUAAUCUCAAUUCAGUAAUAGGGAAACUCAUGGGUUUAUUCUUGUGGUCAUUGUAUCACUGAUCUAAAUGUUUCCUUGUUU